GGAAAAGCUGAGCCGUGCCGCCGUGGAGGGCCGGGAGAUCCCAGCUGCUGCUCAGCCCGGACUGACGGAGCCCGGCGAGUGGCCCUGCACUGCGAACAAGGAAGAAGGGCGGGUCUGACACUUGGCAGCCCGACAGGAAGCGAACGUGAGCAGCGUUUUUCUGUGGGAAACUCUCUUUUUGAGCCCACCCUUUGCUAAGUGUGCCUCGAGCUGUCUGCCCGUGGCCCUCAGCACUAAAGCAACGCCGCGGACGCCGAGCCUCACCCUCUUCUUCAGGGACUUAUCAGCAGGAAAUGAACUCAGCUGGAACGCUUCGUACCAGUGACAUUUUGGUGCUCGGGUCCUGCAGCUGCAGCGCUUCUGAGAGCACAGACACACAAACACACACGUGCCAACACCCACACGGACACACGGACGCACGGACGCACGGACCGGCGUGCCAGGCUCUCUGCACUCCUGGGAAUUGAUGUCAGUGGGAAAGUCUCCUUAACCAAAGGGAGCUAAAUGGAAGGACGUGGCUCUAAAGUGGCUCUCACUGAGCUGAACUUGAAUGCAGCGGCAAUGACUUUAAUCACCCCGGCAAGUGACUUUAAUCACCCUGGCUGUCAUUUGGAUGCGGGGAGCGGGCCUGGCUCAGGAAUCAAGCGCUGCACACACAGCCCCCGAGUGUUAUCUGGACACAGAAAGGUUUCUGUUCACGGACAGACUGCAUGACCUAGACAGGAAGCCUGGAGCAGAGCACAGCCAGGCUGUGUCUGAGGGGAAAGCGUGCCCAGCCCAUGCAGCAACCAGGCUGGCUGCAGAGAGAGCUGGCUCAGGGAAAACCAGCUCUGAAGAGGGCAGACAAAACAGGACACAAGCCAGGAUGACAAAAUGACACAAUGCCAGGAUGGAAACCUUGCCCACUUUCUGGCUAAAAUAUAUCUUCUCCAGGGACACAGCCUGAAGCCCAUCACAUAUAAAACACACUGAAAUUAAGAUAGUUCCGUGAACUCGACCUUGGAGGAA
Onychostruthus taczanowskii (white-rumped snowfinch) is the source of this 1008-nucleotide long non-coding RNA. RefSeq lists it as uncharacterized. The record is from RefSeq and is a predicted model, not a curated record. The transcript is spliced from 3 exons. Lineage: Eukaryota; Metazoa; Chordata; Aves; Passeriformes; Passeridae.